Molecule: ribosomal RNA, 369 nt
Filed under: Pseudoalteromonas sp. S3785
Lineage: Bacteria; Pseudomonadati; Pseudomonadota; Gammaproteobacteria; Alteromonadales; Pseudoalteromonadaceae
Description: partial 23S ribosomal RNA
Rfam family: Bacterial large subunit ribosomal RNA
Source: RNAcentral
AGACUUAUGAAGAUGAGACGCUAGUUUUGUUGGAGUCGUCCUUGAAAUACCACCCUUGUAGUUUUGAUGUUCUAACGUUGGCCCCUGAAUCGGGGUUACGGACAGUGCCUGGUGGGUAGUUUGACUGGGGCGGUCUCCUCCCAAAGAGUAACGGAGGAGCACGAAGGUUGGCUAAGUACGGUCGGACAUCGUACGGUUAGUGUAAUGGUAGAAGCCAGCUUAACUGCGAGACAGACACGUCGAGCAGGUACGAAAGUAGGUCAUAGUGAGCCGGUGGUUCAGAAUGGAAGGGCCAUCGCUCAACGGAUAAAAUGUACACCGGGGAGAACCGGCUGCUACCGACGAAGCGUUCAAAUCGAAUGCGCAGUU